This is a long non-coding RNA of Trichoplusia ni (cabbage looper), 1104 nucleotides long. RefSeq lists it as uncharacterized. The transcript has 2 exons. Lineage: Eukaryota; Metazoa; Arthropoda; Insecta; Lepidoptera; Noctuidae. The record is from RefSeq and is a predicted model, not a curated record.
GUUCACAUUGUGGAAUGCAAUAAACGUAUUGAGUAUUAAAUAAUAUAGUUAUGAAUCUGUCUCACGAAACUUGUUAAAACAAAUAAUAUAUUUUUGCAUAUAUUUUGAUAUUGAGUCACGAGUAAACCAGUUAUCAUUCUUAUUCUUAAUGGAAACCUAAAAACCAGUUUCGUACAUAACUUGUGACCUCUUGCAAGUUAAAAAGCGAGGACCAAAAACAGACACAACUGAAUAAGAUUUGUGAAUUGAUACUUGUGGCAUCAUGAGGUUUUAUUUGUUAUUUAUUUUAAUUAAUAUAUUUAUUGUUUAUAGUGCAAUAAGUACGGAAAUGAAUACCGAUCAUGAAGAUCCUUGGAAAGACAAACUUGGCAUUUCGAGCAAGAAAAUGGUUAAAAUCUACAACAGAUUCGGCGGUGCACAUUAAUGAAACAAGCUGUCUUCUUGCCUCAGCUCAGACUGCACUCCAGACCCUAGACCCUCAGACCCCCGGGAUCAUCAAACAUGAUCAAAGAACAAUUCAAUUCUUAUUACAUGGUUCACCAUAAAAUGAAAAUCAAAAGUUUUUUUCAAGUAGGCCGUUUUCCAGGCACUUUCAAAACUUUAAGGUGAUGGCUCUAGCUGCGCGGUUCUAAAGUAUCGCUCUUAUGGAGAAGAACCAGCAAGAACUUCAUAAUCAUCAUCAUCAGUCCAUAUUCUUCCACUGCAGGACAUAGGCCUCCCCAAUUGCACGCCGCAUCGAGAUCCUAUCUUCGACUGCUCGUAUAAUCUUUGUACAUUUUUUUUGGUAACCCUGCUCAACCCUUUGCCUGUCAAGGACGUUAAUUAACUCCUUCGUCUUUGCCUGAGUUUGUCUGCUUCUUUUAGCCUUGACGAAAGCGGCAAAUAGCAUAUGGAAAUUCAUGUUAAGUAUUCUAUUUGAUUUAAUUCCACAGUGAAGUUUAGAUUCAGAAAAUUAUUGCUGUUUAUCUAAAAUAUAUUAAUAUAAUCGCUGUCUGGGUUUUUGAAAAAAAAAAAACAUGUUUUGAAUCAUCUUUUUCGUUUCUUAAUUUUAUAUAUGUGUUAACAACAAUAAACUAAACUGGUUCUACUGGCAUCUAUUUAAAA